ACUGAGGCCUAUCCCAACAGACUCCUCACCGUGGGACCUAGUCAUUGGAAAUGCCUCACAGAACAAGUGGGGUUUCACUUUACCCUCAUGGCUGCUGCCAUUAGCCCUGUGGGAUAUUACUGCAGUACAAAU
Oncorhynchus kisutch (coho salmon) is the source of this 132-nucleotide small nucleolar RNA. The record is from Ensembl. NCBI's taxonomy places the organism in Eukaryota, Metazoa, Chordata, Actinopteri, Salmoniformes, Salmonidae.